This 514-nucleotide ribosomal RNA is filed under the name uncultured bacterium. RNAcentral describes it as "bacterial SSU rRNA". It matches the Rfam family "Bacterial small subunit ribosomal RNA", at positions 8 to 526 of the family's 1533-position model. The record is from RNAcentral.
AGAGUUUGAUCCUGGCUCAGAUUGAACGCUGGCGGCAUGCCUAACACAUGCAAGUCGAACGAGGUGUAGCAAUACAUCUAGUGGCGGACGGGUGAGGAAUACGUAGGAAUUUGCCUUAGAGCGGGGGAUAGCCCAGGGAAACUUGGAGUAAUACCGCAUGAUGUCGAAAGACCAAAGCAGGGGACCGCAAGGCCUUGCACUCUAAGAGAAGCCUACGUCUGAUUAGCUAGUUGGUAGGGUAAUGGCCUACCAAGGCGACGAUCAGUAACUGGUCUGAGAGGACGAUCAGUCACACCGGAACUGAGACACGGUCCGGACUCCUACGGGAGGCAGCAGUGGGGAAUAUUGGACAAUGGGCGCAAGCCUGAUCCAGCAAUGCCGCGUGUGUGAAGAAGGCCUUCGGGUUGUAAAGCACUUUAAGCAGGGAAGAAAAAACUCGGGCUAAUACCUUGAGUCUUGACGGUACCUGAAGAAUAAGCACCGGCUAACUCUGUGCCAGCCGCCGCGGUAAUUC